This 497-nucleotide ribosomal RNA is filed under the name uncultured bacterium. RNAcentral's name for it is "partial 16S ribosomal RNA". It matches the Rfam family "Bacterial small subunit ribosomal RNA", at positions 35 to 507 of the family's 1533-position model. The record is from RNAcentral.
GGGGGGGGGGGGGGGGGGGGGGGGGGCGGGCGGGGCGGGCGGGCGGACGAGGAGCUUGCGUCGCUGAUGGUAGCGGCGGACGGGUGAGUAACGCGUGGAUAACCUACCUAUAAGACUGGGGUAACUUCGGGAAACCGGAGCUAAUACCGGAUAAUAUUUUGAACCGCAUGGUUCAACAGUAAAAGACGGUCUUGCUGUCACUUAUAGAUGGAUCCGCGCUGCAUUAGCUAGUUGGUAAGGUAACGGCUUACCAAGGCAACGAUGCAUCGCCGACCUGAGAGGGGGAGCGGCCACACUGUAACCGAGACACGGUACAGAAUCCUAAGGGAGGCAGCAGUAGGGAAUCUUCCGCAAUGGGCGAAAGCCUGACGGAGCAACGCCGCGUGAGUGAUGAAGGUCUUCGGAUCGUAAAACUCUGUUAUUAGGGAAGAACAUAUGUGUAAGUAACUGUGCACAUCUUGACGGUACCUAAUCAGAAAGCCACGGCUAACUACGUG